This 423-nucleotide ribosomal RNA is filed under the name uncultured bacterium. RNAcentral's name for it is "bacterial SSU rRNA". It matches the Rfam family "Bacterial small subunit ribosomal RNA", at positions 207 to 622 of the family's 1533-position model. The record is from RNAcentral.
AAGACCUUGCGCUUUUGGAGCGGCCGAUGCCUGAUUAGCUAGUUAGUGGGGUAAUGGCCUACCAAAGCUUCGAUCAGUAGCUGGUCUGAGAGGACGGCCAGCCACACUGGGACUGAGACACGGCCCAGACUCCUACGGGAGGCAGCAGUGGGGAAUUUUGGACAAUGGGCGCAAGCCUGAUCCAGCCAUGCCGCGUGAGUGAAGAAGGCCUUCGGGUUGUAAAGCUCUUUCAGCCGGGAAGAAAAGGUUGCGAUUAGUAAUCGCAAUUUAUGACGGUACCGGAAGAAGAAGCACCGGCUAACUACGUGCCAGCAGCCGCGGUAAUACGUAGGGUGCGAGCGUUAAUCGGAAUUACUGGGCGUAAAGGGUGCGCAGGCGGUUUUGUAAGUCAGAUGUGAAAUCCCCGGGCUUAACCUGGGAACU